Molecule: ribosomal RNA, 431 nt
Filed under: uncultured bacterium
Lineage: Bacteria
Description: partial 16S ribosomal RNA
Rfam family: Bacterial small subunit ribosomal RNA
Source: RNAcentral
AACGAACGCUGGCGGCAUGCCUAACACAUGCAAGUCGAACGAGACCUUCGGGUCUAGUGGCGCACGGGUGCGUAACGCGUGGGAACCUGCCCUUAGGUUCGGAAUAACUCCCCGAAAGGGGUGCUAAUACCGGAUAAUGUCUUCGGACCAAAGAUUUAUCGCCUUUGGAUGGGCCCGCGUUGGAUUAGCUAGUUGGUAGGGUAAAAGCCUACCAAGGCGACGAUCCAUAGCUGGUCUGAGAGGAUGAUCAGCCACACUGGGACUGAGACACGGCCCAGACUCCUCCGGGAGGCAGCAGUGGGGAAUAUUGGACAAUGGGCGAAAGCCUGAUCCAGCAAUGCCGCGUGAGUGAUGAAGGCCUUAGGGUUGUAAAGCUCUUUUACCCGGGAUGAUAAUGACAGUACCGGGAGAAUAAGCUCCGGCUAACUCCG